UUCCGUAGGUGAAGCUGCGGAAGGAUCAUUGUCGAAACCUGCACAAGCAGAAAGACCCGCGAACCCGUUCACAAACGCCGGGGCGGCGACGCUCGGCCCAAGGCCGGCGCGGUCGCCCCGAAACCAACAAACCCCCGGCGCGGAUUGCGCCAAGGACCAUGAACAAUAGCGCGUCCCGCGCCGCUCGGUCUCCCGAAGCGCGCGCGGGGCGUCGUGUCGUUUCGAUACAUUAGAACGACUCUCGGCAACGGAUAUCUCGGCUCUCGCAUCGAUGAAGAACGUAGCGAAAUGCGAUACUUGGUGUGAAUUGCAGAAUCCCGUGAACCAUCGAGUCUUUGAACGCAAGUUGCGCCCGAAGCCUUCGGGCCGAGGGCACGUCUGCCUGGGCGUCACGCACCGCGUCGCCCCCCACCCCUGCAAAGGGGCGAGGGGGCGGACUCUGGCCCCCCGUGUGCGGAAUCCGCCCGCGGCCGGCCUAAACGCAGACCUCGUGGCCGCGCAUGGCCGCGACGAUUGGUGGUUUACUCGUGGCCUCGCGCCCGAGCAUCGCGUCGCGGCCUCGGCUGCCCAUGGGAGCUCAAAGGACCCCGGGGAGGAACCCCGUCGCCCCGAGCGGGCGGCGCGGGGGAUCUCCC
RNAcentral lists this ribosomal RNA (635 nucleotides) under Persicaria hastatosagittata. Its description in RNAcentral is "eukaryotic LSU rRNA". The stretch from base 237 to 392 matches the Rfam family "5.8S ribosomal RNA". The record is from RNAcentral. Lineage: Eukaryota; Viridiplantae; Streptophyta; Magnoliopsida; Caryophyllales; Polygonaceae.